Long non-coding RNA from Lycium barbarum (goji berry), 3286 nucleotides. RefSeq lists it as uncharacterized. Lineage: Eukaryota; Viridiplantae; Streptophyta; Magnoliopsida; Solanales; Solanaceae. The record is from RefSeq and is a predicted model, not a curated record. The transcript is spliced from 2 exons.
GCCCCUUUCUCCACUAAACUAAACUAAAUGAACCAAACCAGCCUUUUCUCUCCCCAAAAGUGAAACCUAGCGUCACCACCACCCCACCCCCCAUCUCGUCACUUCCAUUACUUCACCGCCACCGCACCCUUAGGACCGUUGGUUAAAGACAUCACCGACGCCGCUGCCUCACACCACCUCAUCUAUCACCUUUUUUCCUUACGAUUGAGAGCUGUCACAGCUCUGUUGAUGACUGCGAAAAGGAAAAUUCGAAGAUCUUUCAGAUUGAAGAUUACUUUGUCUUCAAUUCAAUGGGUAAUAAAAGAAUCAACCAUCAGACCCAAAAACCAUGAAGGGACCUCUAAAUUCGGAGUCCCAAUGAACCUCUAGAGUUCAAAUCAUCUCUGAAAAGUCCUCGGCCAAAUCAACAGGCUUUCCGAGCGGAUUCGGAGACUCGAAGACGACACUAGCCUCAGUUCGCUGUCCCGGAAAAGGUUAGUGGUGGCCCUUGCUUCGCUUUUGUUUUCGGUUGUUAGGAAUAUAUAUCGAUGUAGCUAUUAAAUAAUUAUUCGCAAUUUUGCCUAUUUGAGCUUGUUUUGCUGCUGUGUGUCUGAAUCCCCAUAUAAAAGAUCGCUAAGAAUACAUGAAGGAACUAUCGGUUAAAUUGUAGAACAUGUGAAUGAGCUCGUCGCUCGUUUAAAUCCUGUUUCAUAUUUUUGUUAUAAUCUCUUUUGUUAUGUCUGUCAAAUCAGUGCGUAUUGUGGCUGAAUAGAGCUAAAGAUACAGUAAUAGGAUUGUUUGUUGGUAUACUUACUUGUCCCCUUCUCAUUCCAUUUAGCAAAGGAUUAGUCAAAAUUGCUAUGGUUGAGGAAAACAGUGAACUUGCCUUUAAAAAAAAAAAAAACAGAUAACAGUACUUUUUUUUUACUGUUAGGCUACCAACUUAGCAAACAUGUGACCUAUCAUGUCUAUUGUUAUUCCUGUGAAUGUAUUCUUUAUUUUGGCACUCGCUUAAGGCUCAAAAUUUAUGUGUCUAUAACACGUCCCAGUAUUGAAAACAGUUAGUGUUACCUUAAUAUUCAAAACUGAUUGAUAUUCACUCCAUACCUUAGUUAUGCAUGAGAAAGUGAAUUAGCAUGACAUAUAUUACCUUUGUGUUGUUUUGAUUAAUGUUUGGGGAGAGAUUGUCCAACUUGCUGUUUGGGUUUGUAUUUUUGUUUGCAUACACACACUUGUAUGAAGUUAAGAGACCUAGCAUAAAUCCAACAUUUAUUAAAAUGACAUUAGACUAAGGGCUGCUUUGUGUUUUUGGUUCCCUGAAUAAAGUUUGAGUCUUGUUUUUCUUUUUGUAUGCAAAAUUCUUGGACACCCUCUGUUGAGUCUGUCGCCUCGCUUGGACUAAUGCCUUGGGUUUAUAAGUCUGGCUAAUUGAUGUUUUUCUUAGAGUCUUAACUUUCGCAAAUAUGGAGUAUGAUUGGUACUUAUAUGGACUAGGUUAUUAUUCGAGAGAAAAAGUUAUUAUUUUUAAGGAAAAGUCACUGUUUUGAUAUAAAAGAAAGCUAUUUUUUUUUAACUAAAACAGUACUUGUGUGUCUUCAAUAUGACUUCAUGUAUUAAACCUAAGGUUGUGCAUAAGGUGGCCAGUUCAAAAGGACCUGUGCAAAGUUGUAUUAUCUGUUUAUCUUCUUGAUAUUUAUAAAUGGUUAACCAAGUGAGAAUUGGAAUACUGAAUUAAAAGAGUAAGGGGCAUAAAUUGGUUUGUCUUGUCUUUGGUAUAUGAAGUGGUUGUCCCUAGCAUCUAAGGAAGGCCUAGAGUGAUGUCCUAGGGCUAAGAGCUGAAGAAAGGCUUUGAGUGUAUUGCUCAGCCUUACCUUAGUUGCUUUGAGCUGCUUAGGUUCCUCUUUGCUGGAUUAUGAGACCAUGAGUUCCCUUUUUAUUGUGUUUGUAUGUUAGAUUAGGGUCAAUUAAGUUUUAAAUCUCAACAUAAUCAAGACUGGGUGGUUAGCCUAACAUCUGCGUUAUUUUAGCCUAGUUUGAACAUUGUGAAUGGCAUGAUGAUAACAUGAUGAGUUGAUUCAAGUUUUCUGCCGUUUAGCCUGUUAUGAUUACUUAUUUUGGAUAUGGUUGUGUCUGAAUGAUCAUAGUAAGGACUAGUUAAGGAUUGCUUUUGCUGUAAGAUCAAUGUAAUGGCCUUAACAAUAAGAUCCCCAUAUUCCUCCAAAGUUUGCCUUUAUACCUUUGUGCUAGUAUAUGUUUUAGGUGUAGGCUGAACCAAAUCUCUCAUUUAUCUUUCCCGGCCCUUUGUUCCUCUGUAAAUGAGUAGAGUUUUAUUGUAUUUGUGUGUUUUACCCUUAUAUGCAAAAAUGUAUGAAGGCAACAUGACAUUUUGAAUGAGCCUAAGACUGAAAGUAUCUAUUUCCUUAUACCUAUUUUGCCCUGGCAUUUAUCUGACUGAGCCAUAGAUUGUGUCAUAAGUUUUUUUUUUUUUUUUUCAAAUAAUUAAGAGAGUGUGUAUGCUAAUUGUUCUGUUGCUAGAAUAACCCUUCCUUCCCUCUCUUCUUCUUGAUGUACUGCUAAGAUAAGGAUAAUUUGCCUAAGACGAUCAUCAUAUUUUGUUUACCUGUGUCUGAUGUUGGGGUAUAAAUCAUUCCACUUGUUCUUUCCUUUGGACUGUGUGCAUUAAGAAUGGUAUUGAACAUUGAUAUUAUAGCAUAGCAUGUCUGAUUUGGUAGAAUUCUAUGUAGGGAAUGAGGUUGAUCUCUGCCUAGUUUGUCUUUGUGUCCCUUAAUAACUCUAAGAAGUGGAAGUUUUGUAUAUGUUGCGCAUACAUUUAGUGUGUAAAGGCAUGUAUAAAUUUAGUGUGACUAACUACUGCUCCAUCCCUUUAUUUUAAUAAUAUAAAUUUGUCUUCCAGCUCCUCUUUUGUCCCCUGCAUUCAGUUUUUCCUUUCUAUCAUUAGAUAAUAUCACUAGAUAAUAACUGAAACAGUCUAUCCUUUUUAAGUUAACAAUGCGUAAUGUCUUGAAAUUUGAUUGCCUUACAAUUUAGAUUGCUUCUAAUCCUUUUCUUUUCUUUGCAUAUGUACGUGGGAGUAUACUGGAGUUGUAUGACAACUCCAAGACUGCUCGGAAAUAGAGAAACAACAGUGUCAUUCGCUUGUGUCUAGCAGCCUCGUUCGCGUCCACAUCCUUUUCCCUCUCUUCAUACUUUUAUCUUUUGUUUUUAUACAUACGAUUUGACUAACAGUUGUACCAAUUUGGUAUUUGUAUUUUACGCUUUGCUUAAUUCGUGUUUGGGUUUGCGUAAA